GCGGCGUUAGCUCAUGCGGUAGAGCUUCUGCCUUCCACGCAGAUGGACCGGGUUCGACUCCCGGGCGCCGCUCCA
This 75-nucleotide transfer RNA is filed under the name Gemmatimonadota bacterium. RNAcentral's name for it is "Gemmatimonadetes bacterium tRNA-Gly". It matches the Rfam family "tRNA". Rfam says of the family: Transfer RNA (tRNA) molecules are approximately 80 nucleotides in length. Their secondary structure includes four short double-helical elements and three loops (D, anti-codon, and T loops). RNAcentral also lists the same sequence under 1 other name. Lineage: Bacteria; Pseudomonadati; Gemmatimonadota. The record is from RNAcentral.